AUGAAUAAGUAAUAUUUACGUUUAAUUUCCAAUUAAAAAGAGGGAAAAUUUUUAUUUUGG
Molecule: transfer RNA, 60 nt
Filed under: Mesabolivar sp. ITV1036I2
Lineage: Eukaryota; Metazoa; Arthropoda; Arachnida; Araneae; Pholcidae
Description: tRNA-Gly
Source: RNAcentral